RNAcentral lists this ribosomal RNA (136 nucleotides) under Plantibacter sp. VKM Ac-2880. Its description in RNAcentral is "partial 23S ribosomal RNA". It matches the Rfam family "Bacterial large subunit ribosomal RNA", at positions 1 to 135 of the family's 2925-position model. Lineage: Bacteria; Bacillati; Actinomycetota; Actinomycetes; Micrococcales; Microbacteriaceae. The record is from RNAcentral.
UUUCAAAUUUCUAAGAGCAAACGGUGGAUGCCUUGGCAUCUGGAGCCGAAGAAGGACGUAGUAAUCUGCGAUAAGCCUCGGGGAGCUGAUAAACGAGCUGUGAUCCGAGGAUUUCCGAAUGGGGAAACCCCGCCAG